This 326-nucleotide ribosomal RNA is filed under the name uncultured eukaryote. Its description in RNAcentral is "partial 18S ribosomal RNA". It matches the Rfam family "Eukaryotic small subunit ribosomal RNA", at positions 1470 to 1796 of the family's 1831-position model. The record is from RNAcentral.
CCCUUAGAUGUUCUGGGCCGCACGCGCGCUACACUGAUGCAUUCAACGAGUCUAAAACCUGCUCUGAUAGGGGUGGGUAAUCUUUUGAAUGUGCAUCGUGAUUGGGAUAGAUGAUUGCAAUUUUUCAUCUUCAACGAGGAAUGCCUAGUAAACGCAAGUCAUCAGCUUGCAUUGAUUACGUCCCUGCCCUUUGUACACACCGCCCGUCGCUCCUACCGAUUGAGUGGUCCGGUGAAUAAUUCGGACUGAGGAUUUAGGCAGUUUCUGUCUUUAUCUUCGGGAAGUCUAGUGAACCUUAUCACUUAGAGGAAGGAGAAGUCGUAACA